CGACGGCCGAAAAAACGCACGGUGUGAUCCCGGCACAAAACAACCAACAGCAGAGGACAUUCAGGACCACAAUCUGAAUAUUACAGACAACACCAACAAGUACCAGAUUCAAAACUGUUUGUAAGAGGGAAGUCCCCCGUAGUGGAGCCAGAGCAGCGCGCUGCCUCGGUUGACAGCAGAAGUAAAUAACACAGGCAGACCAUGGGCUGCUCAGCUUGUUUAUGAUCAACUGGACGGACGCAGUGAUACUACGUUCUUUUGGCCGUUAAGAAGACAGAUCGCUCGUCUGUUUAGGGACAGUGAGAGACAGCCAGCAGUUCAAUUGAGUGGUAAAAACACUCGCAGAGCGGAGCGUGGAGCGGGAGAGACAACAGGAACUUGACUGACAUCUGUGCUUUGCCUGUGUGCAGAAGAACAAGGACCAGAUCUCCAGUCUUCUCUGUCACAUCCCAACCCCC
Molecule: long non-coding RNA, 458 nt
Organism: Oreochromis aureus
Lineage: Eukaryota; Metazoa; Chordata; Actinopteri; Cichliformes; Cichlidae
Source: Ensembl